RNAcentral lists this ribosomal RNA (497 nucleotides) under uncultured bacterium. Its description in RNAcentral is "partial 16S ribosomal RNA". It matches the Rfam family "Bacterial small subunit ribosomal RNA", at positions 28 to 507 of the family's 1533-position model. The record is from RNAcentral.
GAUGAACGCUGGCGGCGUGCCUAAUACAUGCAAGUCGAGCGAACAGAUGAUGAGCUUGCUCCUCUGACGUUAGCGGCGGACGGGUGAGUAACACGUGGUUAACCUCCCUAUAAGACUGGGAUAACUUCUGGAAACCGGAGCUAAUACCGGAUAAUAUAUUGAACCGCAUGGUUCAAUAGUGAAAGACGGUUUUGCUGUCACUUAUAGAUGGAUCCGCGCCGGAUUAGCUAGUUGGUAAGGUAACGGCUUACCAAGGCAACGAUGCGUAGCCGGCCUGAGAGGGAGGUCGGGCACACACGAACUGAGAGACGGUCCAGACUCCUACGGGAGGCAGCAGUAGGGAAGGUGCCGCAAAGGGCGAAAGCCUGACGGAGCAACGGCCCGUGAGUGAUGAAGGUAUUCGGAUCGUAAAACUCUGUUAUUAGGGAAGAACGAAUGUGUAAGUAACUAUGCACGUCUUGACGGUACCUAAUCAGAAAGCCACGGCUAACUACGUG